This 69-nucleotide microRNA precursor is filed under the name Bombyx mori (domestic silkworm). RNAcentral describes it as "mir-2774 microRNA precursor family". It matches the Rfam family "mir-2774 microRNA precursor family". Lineage: Eukaryota; Metazoa; Arthropoda; Insecta; Lepidoptera; Bombycidae. The record is from Rfam by way of RNAcentral.
ACAACAUUUGGACCCUCAGUCUACCGAACUAUACCACACCCGCUCAGUGGAAGAUCUUCCUUUUGUCCU